RNAcentral lists this long non-coding RNA (1793 nucleotides) under Capra hircus (goat). RNAcentral's name for it is "lncRNA (ENSCHIG00000007181.1)". The record is from RNAcentral. Lineage: Eukaryota; Metazoa; Chordata; Mammalia; Artiodactyla; Bovidae.
CCCAACAGUUAUUUGCCUUAAGGACUUUAUGUAAAUGAUUCUGUUCUGUAUAAACUGAAAAGCGAAGAGAGCCCUGCCAUUUUGGCAAUCCUCAUGGAUAUGAUUAAUAGAUCUGCAACAGAACUGGGCAGAGACAACUGAUGGCAUUUCCAUCUAAAAGGCAGUGUGUUUAGGCAGUAAAUAUGAUAGCUUCUAGACUUCAUGUGCACUUCUUCUUCAACCAAAAGAGUAAAAACGUCCUUGGCAUCUCCUCUACAUGGUUAAAGAGAUUCACAAAAGAAGAGCAUCGAGACUCACCUCCCUUAGACCUGUACCUCACACCCACCAAGAUGCCCAGGACAUAUGCCCAGUCAUAACUUUGUCCUACACUGGAACCCAAUUCUCCAUUUUAUAUGCUCCCUAAACACAUAUCCUGCAUCAUCAUCAGAGACACAGUUCCCUCUACUGAGAUCUAAGCUCUAGUGAUCACUGUUUUUAAUCCUCUCACUGUGAAAUUGCUGAAGUACUCAUUCCCAGCUUUGCAUGCAACUCAAGUCCUCCGAGAGCAUGCUGGGAACAGGAAAGGAUUGGGAGAAGGAAAGUGAAGGGGAGGAGUAGGGGGUGAGGGGGGAAAUGAGGAAGAGGUUGGAAGAAGGGGAGUGGAAAAGAAUGUGAGAGCAGAAGGGGCUCAGGCAGGAAAGAUGAGAGGAACUGUAAUAUCUAAGCAAUUUAAAAUGGAGGAAAUAUUUUGGGGCUUUGCUUUUUCUUUGCUUGUUUGUUUGUCUUCUGAGCCUCCACAUUUUAAGUGUUAAGUCUCAAGCCAUCAGAAUGAAUAAAAUGGUUUGGGGACUGAUUCUACAAAUUGAUUUCCUUCCAGCCUAUUCCUGCUCUGGUGGUUCCUAUAAAGCCUGGAAGAAGAGUUACCCCAAGAUGGUGUCAUCUGUGUCCAGCUUCUUCUUCAGCACAUCUGCUUGGUGUCAGCUGGGGUGGAUGUCAUGUUUAAGGCUGGGAUUGCUUACAGUUACAACUGGCAGCAGUUUCAUGAACAACAUCCCUUCCUGGACAAGAGGAGAAAAAGUUUGUGCACACACGCCUCAGGAGCUGAAGGCACAUGCAGGAAACCUCUGGACAUUUCUUCUCCCCACCGGUAUAGGAUUCUGUAGCAAUGGGAGCAAAGCAGAAAGAGCAACCUCAGCUCUCAUUUUGUCUGCCAGCAACAUCCGGCUCCCCUCUGUUUUCCACUGGCUAUCAGAUGCUCUGUGUGAUGGCAGAAUUGGGUGGUAAAAACUAACAUUGAAAAAUAAAACUUGGAGUUAUGGGACCACCAAAAUGAAUCACAAAACUGCAGAAUUCUUAUCUCACUGGACUGUGAGAGGGAAAAUUGCUGGGUUUUUCAGGAUGGCAAGUGAUGUUUGGCAUAUUUCAGCUCGGAGAAACGCUUCUUCUUCCACUUUGUUCUCCUGCUCAUAGUGGAUAAUUCACGUCACCUUUAGGGGAUUUUGUGAUUUUUAUUUACAAUGAAUAAGCUCAUAUUAUCAAGACUAAUUCCCAGCUACACGUAGUACUUCCACUUCUCCUGGAGACACAUGGAGGAUACCUGACUCAAUGGAGCCGAAAUGGUUCCCUGUGAUGUGCCUUUUCUGUGUUAUGAUAGCUCCCUUUUCUUCGGGGGCAUUGACACUGUCUGACUUAGGGAGAAGGCAGGCCAGAUGUGCUCACUCUGCAUGUCUGCCUCUCCCCAGGGAGAGGUAGGUAUCAUCUCCUGUUAACCACCCAUCUCCCUGAAAUCCCCUCUUUUUCCCUGUUCACCUCCC